Molecule: long non-coding RNA, 211 nt
Organism: Telopea speciosissima
Lineage: Eukaryota; Viridiplantae; Streptophyta; Magnoliopsida; Proteales; Proteaceae
Exons: 2
Source: RefSeq, a predicted model, not a curated record
CAAGCUCCUUAUAAAUAACAACCCUCUUCUCAUCUCCAUCUUCAAUCUUCAAUUCCUCUCACAAAGAAAUUGAGGUUCCUCAAGUGGUUGCCAUGAUGGGAAGGUUUAGUUGGUGUAUCGUCUUCACCAUGUUGGUCUUUCUUGCAUCAGAGGAGAUGAGGGUGCAUGUUGAAGCAAGGGUGUGUGAAACUCUGAGCGAACAGUUCAAGGG